AGCACUGCAGUGGACAAAUGGAAAGAGAGGAUCUGCUGACAGAGAUGGCAAUAUAUUUUCUCCUCUGAAAAAGAGGUCUGAAGAGCAGAGGAGCCUGUUUAGCUAAAGCACCUGGAUUUUCCAUGGGAGGAGAGUGAUGAGGAAGAAGGCUGGGACAGGUGCUCCCUUCUUUCAAUGAUGAAUCCAGUCAGUGUCUGGCUUCAGAACAUUUGCUAUUUGAUAUCCGAGAUACGUACAACAUGUUCACAGUGAAUUCUCCAACUGAAAACAGCAGAGUUCAAACCAAGUCAAUUAAUUCACAGAGUGAAUGGAUUCAAGCCCAGAAUCUCAUGCCUCGUCAAGGCCUCUUUGAUGCGACUGCCAACAGAUAUCUGUUUAUAAAUGCAGUAAAUGUAACUAUUUGAUACUUAUAGCUCUUACAGUCUUAUGUGAUUCUGCCACACACACCCUUGUUAUGGCUGAUCUCUGAUAAUUGAGUUACAUUUUGCAGACAUUUCUAGCAUUUCUCUCUCUCUCUCUCUCUCUCUCUGA
Pogona vitticeps (central bearded dragon) is the source of this 531-nucleotide non-coding RNA. NCBI's taxonomy places the organism in Eukaryota, Metazoa, Chordata, Lepidosauria, Squamata, Agamidae. The record is from RefSeq and is a predicted model, not a curated record.